UGGGGAAUAUUGGACAACGGGCGAAAGCCUGAUCCAGCCAUGCCGCGUGUGUGAAGAAGGUCUUCGGAUUGUAAAGCACUUUAAGUUGGGAGGAAGGGCAGUAAGCGAAUACCUUGCUGUUUUGACGUUACCGACAGAAUAAGCACCGGCUAACUCUGUGCCAGCAGCCGCGGUACUACAGAGGGUGCAAGCGUUAAUCGGAAUUACUGGGCGUAAAGCGCGCGUAGGUGGUUCGUUAAGUUGAAUGUGAAAGCCCCGGGCACAACCUGGGAAGUGCAUCCAAAACUGGCGAGAGAGAGUAGAGCAGAGGGUGGUGGAAUUUCCUGGGUGGCGGUGAAAUGCGUAGAAAUAGGAAGGAACACCAGUGGCGAAGGCGACCACCUGGGCUCAUACUGACACUGAGGUGCGAAAGCGUGGAGAGCAAACAGG
RNAcentral lists this ribosomal RNA (429 nucleotides) under Pseudomonadota bacterium. Its description in RNAcentral is "Proteobacteria bacterium partial 16S ribosomal RNA". It matches the Rfam family "Bacterial small subunit ribosomal RNA", at positions 355 to 776 of the family's 1533-position model. Lineage: Bacteria; Pseudomonadati; Pseudomonadota. The record is from RNAcentral.